UCAACAUCCGGUGUACUUUUUGCUUGUAUUUUGGAGAAACUCGAUUGAUUCUAGCAAACUUGGUUUACCACUACAUCGUCGCUUAUUAUUAUUUGUUGCUGCUUGGGACAUUAAAGUUAAGUCAGCAACCGUCUACCAGACUGCAAGAUUCAUCUCUUCCAAAGGAUGUCGUACCUUUCCAGAUACACUGUGUUUUGUGUGGAUAAGAAAUGCAGAGUGGUACCACCAAUCACCUAAGCCACCAUUCCCCUAACAGACAAUAGGCUCAAGGGGACAGUUCCUGCAAUUUACAGAAAAGCUCUCAAUUGUAGCCCUAUGAA
Long non-coding RNA from Mya arenaria, 320 nucleotides. RefSeq lists it as uncharacterized. The record is from RefSeq and is a predicted model, not a curated record. Lineage: Eukaryota; Metazoa; Mollusca; Bivalvia; Myida; Myidae. The transcript has 3 exons.